Molecule: long non-coding RNA, 2341 nt
Filed under: Hordeum vulgare
Lineage: Eukaryota; Viridiplantae; Streptophyta; Magnoliopsida; Poales; Poaceae
Description: long non-coding RNA (HVUL_LNC015469)
Source: RNAcentral
UCGUCCCUGGCAAUCUAGGUAGGUGACCGCCGCCGGCGCGCUAUAAGUGAUCAUUUGUUGAGGUGCUGAUGCGUGAAGAAGGAUCGGUCAGUCAGGGGCUUAAUGUUGCUCUGAUGUGUCUGUGUGGCACGUAUUGUUGGAUUCUACAAGGACUUUGUCAAAGCCCUCUACGAAGACCUCGGUGGGCAGGCAUCUGUUACGGGUAAGCUUGCUUGAUUGAAGCGUAUUUUUGUCGAUGUAUUGUCGUUGCUGCUUGCUGAUGAACAUUGUGCCUUGUGCAUUGUUCAGCGAUAGGGCGUAUUUCACAUGGGCAGAAGGUAAUGCACAUAUUUCUUCAGGUUGAUUCAUAUCGUCAUGUUGAAAUCGACAAGGGACGGUUACAUCAAUCAUUUAUAUUUAUGGAAGACAGUUCACUGAUAACUAGCUUGGAUCAUACCUCCAGAACGGUAUGGCCUGAUUCCUCUCUCUCGCCUAGCUCGGAUCUUUUCCUUGUCUUCUUUGAGUUGGAUUCCCGAUUCCCGAUCCGUCCAUGCGAAUUGCGAUCUUGAUUGGCCGAUUAGAGAUUUAGUUAGGGAUAAUAAGACUGCACCGUGCUCAGCUCUUCCUUCUCGAGUUGGAAUCUCAGGAGGGAAGCUCUUAACCUAGGCCUGCUCUCUGGGAAUCGUUGGGAACAGGUUUGAUGAGCAACCAAACGAGCAGUGUUAAUCUCCGCAGUGCUGGUAAGUUCGUUAUAUUUCCCACAACCCACAUGUCAUCGCAAAUCUGUAGCAUCAGCCUGACCCCCCUGGACUAUAAUCCUCAUUCCUCCACUCCCACCUUACGUUUUCAGCUAUGUGUCAUGUGUUCCAAAUGGCGGGCAAAAAGUUAACAUGAAGCAUACUACUCGGUACUGUAUGAAAUAAGAGCGGAUUUCUUUUAGAUACAGAAUGAAGUUUUAGUUAAGAGGCCAAACUGAAAAUAGAAAGCACUAUAUAUACGAACUAUGUGGCCAUUAUAGCUACAUUAUAUCAGGGUUGAUGACAAACAAAUUCAGGGUUGGAUAUUCUGGAACUAUGUUGUCAUCAACUAUCUAGCACUAUAAGGACUAUGUGAAUUUUCAAUUUUGCCAUAUUCUGGAAGAUUCUAGUUAUAAUGUGCUAAAUAACGCAUGAUAAAUAAGACGUUAUACAAUGGAAAGCCACAUAAUCUAGAAAUGCAAACUAUGUGGCCAUGCAAGAUUCUGUUUGUCUUGAAUUAUGUGGAUAGGAUAAUAUAUGUAGGUCCGGUCUCUCUUCUAUCUCUCUUCUGCUUCCACAUAACCCUCCGUGCGGUUCGGUUGCAGCCUGCAGGUCCGGUCUCUCUUCUGUCCAGAGUUGAUUAGCACCUAGUACACGGUAGCUAGUAUGGAUAGGAUAUAUAUGUAGCUGCAGAUCAGAGAGGAGCUUCUUCAUUUAUCUUGUACAGUAGUACUAGGUAGUUGGUCUGAUUGCUAGCUAGUUGGUCUGAUUGCUAGCUAGCUGGACUGGAUUAUAUUAUGUACUCCCUGUGUAAACUAAUAUAAGAGUGUUUAGAUUACUAAAAUAAUGUUCUAAAUGCUAUUAUAUUAGUUUACAGAGGAAGUACGUAGCUUAAUUAGCUUGUGCAGUUAAUUUGUUGCACGCAUACAUGCAUGCAUGCAUCAUGUUUGUUGGUGGAGAACUGAAAUCGCAUUGCAUAAUAUGCAUCGUUAAUUGACUUUGAUAGUUAAUUUGUUGCUACUCCAUGGUAGAAUAGUUUGCAUUGCGCAGUGUAGGAUUCUGCUAGAGGCGAGAUGAUCGACUCCGCAUACACAUGCAUCUGUUAUGCGCGCACAACUUCCUCUCACAAAAAAAACUAAGUGCAUGUCUCUUUCACUUUUGUUUGCAUUUCUUUUAACAUCAUCUUGAGGAUGAACACAAAUCUUUUUAUUUCUAAUAUUGUUUAUAUUUAUUUCCUAUCUUUUUUAUUUCUAAUAUUUUUUAUAUUUAUUUCAUUUUGAUUGAUUCAUGUGCAGUGUAAUGUUUUUGUAGGGUGACAAGUUGUCGCAUCUCGAGCAUGUUUCAUAGGAGAGUGGAAUGAAGUUCAUUGUACUGUUCGGAUAGUAGCAGAUGUGCCAUUGUUCUAUUGUGCAAUUCUGUCUGUUCUUGCUAUAUUUCAGUGUAAAGAAAUGUAUUCAUGAGAUGAGUUAUUGUGUUAUGUAAACAUGAAAGAUGUAUUAUGUGAUGUUAUAUGAUGGAUGGUUUCAAUUUGACUUGAAGUUUUCUUGAUUUGAAUAUGAAAUAGUGUUGGAUUUAAUAUUGGACAAAUAAUUGGGUUGAAAAGGCCCAACACAUAGAAAUAAAAC